UACGUAGGGUGCGAGCGUUGUCCGGAAUUACUGGGCGUAAAGAGCUCGUAGGUGGUUUGUCGCGUUGUUCGUGAAAACCGGGGGCUUAACCCUCGGCGUGCGGGCGAUACGGGCAGACUUGAGUACUGCAGGGGAGACUGGAAUUCCUGGUGUAGCGGUGGAAUGCGCAGAUAUCAGGAGGAACACCGGUGGCGAAGGCGGCAUCCUGGACCGGCAUUGACGCUGAGGAGCGAAAGCCAGGGGAGCAAACGGG
Molecule: ribosomal RNA, 253 nt
Filed under: uncultured bacterium
Lineage: Bacteria
Description: partial 16S ribosomal RNA
Rfam family: Bacterial small subunit ribosomal RNA
Source: RNAcentral